This 594-nucleotide long non-coding RNA is filed under the name Malus domestica (apple). Its description in RNAcentral is "long non-coding RNA (MDOM_LNC001152)". Lineage: Eukaryota; Viridiplantae; Streptophyta; Magnoliopsida; Rosales; Rosaceae. The record is from RNAcentral.
AGGCCACAUAAUAGGGUUAUGUUGUGGAUCGUCAAGGACAAUCUGUCACUAUAAUUAGGUAAGAGAUUUUGUAAGGUUUCAUAUGUGAGAUCCAUAAAUCUAUUUAAAUAUUGCCACAUGGAUAAUUUUUUUUAGUACAUCAAUAUUUUUACAUUAAGGGAAUGGUGAGUUCGGUUAAGUCACGUAAUUGGCAACCUAAUUUGGUAUCGAAUUCAUCACGAGAUUCGAACCUAAGACAUCUCACUUCCAAGUGAAGAGGAAUACCAACAGACCGUAGUAUUAAGUGGCACAUGGAUAAAUUUUAAACUAUAUAAAAGUAAGAGAAAUGCCAAGAAUACUCUCUAAAAAAUGAGACUUUUCAUGGAUUUUUUGUCAUAUGUUUUUGGCACAAUAUUUUAUACUAUUGGCACAAGAAUACUCUCUCCUUAACAUUUCUUAAAAAAAAAAUUUAAAAUCGUUAAAAUUAAAUUUAAAAAAAUAAAAAAUUACGAGAUGCGCCUGCAUUUUCACAAUAGCAAGAAUAAUACUCAAUGCCAAGAAGAGAAAGGAGGAGGCCAUCGGCAAAAGGAGAUCAUCGUCAACGAAAGGCCAUCU